GGCUUGGCGGCAGCUACACAUGCAGUCGAGCGGGGGAAGGUAGCUUGCUACCGGACCUAGCGGCGGACGGGUGAGUAAUGCUUAGGAAUCUGCCUAUUAGUGGGGGACAACAUCUCGAAAGGGAUGCUAAUACCGCAUACGUCCUACGGGAGAAAGCAGGGGAUCUUCGGACCUUGCGCUAAUAGAUGAGCCUAAGUCGGAUUAGCUAGUUGGUGGGGUAAAGGCCUACCAAGGCGACGAUCUGUAGCGGGUCUGAGAGGAUGAUCCGCCACACUGGGACUGAGACACGGCCCAGACUCCUACGGGAGGCAGCAGUGGGGAAUAUUGGACAAUGGGGGGAACCCUGAUCCAGCCAUGCCGCGUGUGUGAAGAAGGCCUUAUGGUUGUAAAGCACUUUAAGCGAGGAGGAGGCUACUUUAGUUAAUACCUAGAGAUAGUGGACGUUACUCGCAGAAUAAGCACCGGCUAACUCUGUGCCAGCAGCCGCGGUAAUACAGAGGGUGCGAGCGUUAAUCGGAUUUACUGGGCGUAAAGCGUGCGUAGGCGGCUUAUUAAGUCGGAUGUGAAAUCCCCGAGCUUAACUUGGGAAUUGCAUUCGAUACUGGUGAGCUAGAGUAUGGGAGAGGAUGGUAGAAUUCCAGGUGUAGCGGUGAAAUGCGUAGAGAUCUGGAGGAAUACCGAUGGCGAAGGCAGCCAUCUGGCCUAAUACUGACGCUGAGGUACGAAAGCAUGGGGAGCAAACAGGAUUAGAUACCCUGGUAGUCCAUGCCGUAAACGAUGUCUACUAGCCGUUGGGGCCUUUGAGGCUUUAGUGGCGCAGCUAACGCGAUAAGUAGACCGCCUGGGGGAGUACGGUCGCAAGACUAAAACUCAAAUGAAUUGACGGGGGCCCGCACAAGCGGUGGAACCAGGUGGUUUAAUUCGAUGCAACGCGAAGAACCUUACCUGGCCUUGACAUACUAGAAACUUUCCAGAGAUGGAUUGGUGCCUUCGGGAAUCUAGAUACAGGUGCUGCAUGGCUGUCGUCAGCUCGUGUCGUGAGAUGUUUGGGUUAAGUCCCGCAACGAGCGCAACCCUUUUCCUUACUUGCCAGCAAUUUCGGAAGGGGAACUUUUAAGGAUACUGCCCGUGACAAACUGGGAGGAAAGCGGGGGACGAACAUCAAUUCUUCAAGGGGCCCUUAGUGGCAGGGGGUACAACGUGGUUUCAAUGGGUGGGAUACAAAAGGGUGGUUUCCCACCGCAUUUGGUGGCUAUCUUCCAAAAGCGCAGCGGGUUUCCCGCGUGGUUAGGUCGG
RNAcentral lists this ribosomal RNA (1296 nucleotides) under Acinetobacter baumannii. RNAcentral describes it as "bacterial SSU rRNA". It matches the Rfam family "Bacterial small subunit ribosomal RNA", at positions 34 to 1270 of the family's 1533-position model. Lineage: Bacteria; Pseudomonadati; Pseudomonadota; Gammaproteobacteria; Moraxellales; Moraxellaceae. The record is from RNAcentral.